CGGCGCCGUGAAUACGUUCCCGGGCCUUGUACACACCGCCCGUCACAUCAUGGAAGUCGCUUGUAGCCGAAGCCGGCGCGCUAACCCGCAAGGGAGGCAGCCUUCUACGCUAUGAGCGGUAACUGGGAUGAAGUCGUAACAAGGUAGCCGUAGGGGAACCUGCGGCUGGAUCACCUCCUUUCUAAGG
Molecule: ribosomal RNA, 187 nt
Filed under: Verrucomicrobiota bacterium
Lineage: Bacteria; Pseudomonadati; Verrucomicrobiota
Description: Verrucomicrobia bacterium partial 16S ribosomal RNA
Rfam family: Bacterial small subunit ribosomal RNA
Source: RNAcentral